Molecule: ribosomal RNA, 253 nt
Filed under: uncultured bacterium
Lineage: Bacteria
Description: partial 16S ribosomal RNA
Rfam family: Bacterial small subunit ribosomal RNA
Source: RNAcentral
UACGUAGGGUGCAAGCGUUGUCCGGAAUUAUUGGGCGUAAAGAGCUCGUAGGCGGUCUGUUACGUCUGCUGUGAAAACCCAGGGCUUAACCCUGGGCUUGCAGUGGAUACGGGCAGACUAGAGGCAGGUAGGGGAGAAUGGAAUUCCCGGUGUAGCGGUGAAAUGCGCAGAUAUCGGGAGGAACACCGGUGGCGAAGGCGGUUCUCUGGGCCUGACCUGACGCUGAGGAGCGAAAGCGUGGGGAGCGAACAGG